Molecule: transfer RNA, 90 nt
Filed under: Rhodovulum strictum
Lineage: Bacteria; Pseudomonadati; Pseudomonadota; Alphaproteobacteria; Rhodobacterales; Paracoccaceae
Also listed under: 26 other names
Description: tRNA-Ser
Rfam family: tRNA
About the family: Transfer RNA (tRNA) molecules are approximately 80 nucleotides in length. Their secondary structure includes four short double-helical elements and three loops (D, anti-codon, and T loops).
Source: RNAcentral
GGAGACGUGGCCGAGUGGUCGAAGGCGCUCCCCUGCUAAGGGAGUAGACGGGAAACCGUCUCGUGGGUUCGAAUCCCAUCGUCUCCGCCA